This is a non-coding RNA of Alosa sapidissima (American shad), 589 nucleotides long. The record is from the annotation of a RefSeq genome assembly. Lineage: Eukaryota; Metazoa; Chordata; Actinopteri; Clupeiformes; Clupeidae.
UACGCUGGUAAAGCCAUAAAUGAACGAUAUACCACCUCCAGUGGAUGGGGCGGUGUCAGGAAAUUUGUGUGUGUAAAGAAGGUGUUGAGAUGCUUGCAAUCACUCUGUCAGUACAGGCCAGUCAUGAUGGUACUGGGUGUAUUCCUGCUCUUGUCUCUCUUAAUAGGAGAAUCUGUUGGGAAUACUAUAACACCCUCGCAUUCUUCACUGAUCGUCAUCGAGGAAGAAGCUGUUACUUUCUCCUGUAACUACAGUGGUAGUGUCACUAACUUGCAAUGGUAUCGGCAGUAUCCCAACUCCAUCCCAGAGUUCCUCUACUACAUAUAUGUGGCUGGUACCACUUCAGACCCAGUUCCCCGCCUGACUCCCUCCAUAAAGACAGAGGAAAAGCGCGUGUUUCUGGAGCUCUCCUCUGCAGAGGCGUCUGACUCUGCUGUGUACUACUGCGCCCUGAGGCCCACAGUGACAGGAACUCUGACUCUGCUGUACAAAAUCCUCUCAGAUGUGCAGGAGGAGGGAGAUUCAACAUGUCCCCUUCACAGACAGUACAUUCAUUUAUACACUCUGACUAUUAAUCCAGUCUGCUGAU